UGGUGAGACCAUGUGAUGAAAUGAACCGAGCGAAGAGAGAUGAGAAGCUCCACCGACUGUCCUCACAUUGUUUUGAUAAGGUCUGAGACAGCAGCGCAGGAGAUGGUCUUUUGACCACAGACGACUGAGACAACAGGUUUCAUAUUCUUCAUUUGCAACCACGAAGGAUCAUGCGAAUGGAUGUUGCAUCUAACAUCACCUCCACAGAUGGUUUCCAGAAAUGUAUGUUGUAUGUGAAAGAGAGAGAGGUUUUGGUACUCAGUAGGAUGGCGGAUGACGCGAACUCGUUGAGGUCCACGCACCGAACACCUCGUGCGGCAUCUGCCCAUUGGGAAGCAG
Long non-coding RNA from Musa acuminata AAA Group (dessert banana), 339 nucleotides. RefSeq lists it as uncharacterized. NCBI's taxonomy places the organism in Eukaryota, Viridiplantae, Streptophyta, Magnoliopsida, Zingiberales, Musaceae. The transcript is spliced from 3 exons. The record is from RefSeq and is a predicted model, not a curated record.